RNAcentral lists this ribosomal RNA (799 nucleotides) under Phytophthora colocasiae. Its description in RNAcentral is "eukaryotic LSU rRNA". The stretch from base 199 to 353 matches the Rfam family "5.8S ribosomal RNA". The record is from RNAcentral. Lineage: Eukaryota; Oomycota; Peronosporomycetes; Peronosporales; Peronosporaceae.
CAUUCCACACCUAAAAAACUUUCCACGUGAACCGUUUCAAACCUUUUAGUUGGGGGUGUUACUUGGCAUUUUGCUGAGCCGCGCCCUAUCAAGGCGAACGUUUGGGCUUCGGCCUGGGCUAGUAGUUUUUUCUUUCAAACCCUUUAACAAUACUGAUUAUACUGUGGGGACGAAAGUCUCUGCUUUUAACUAGAUAGCAACUUUCAGCAGUGGAUGUCUAGGCUCGCACAUCGAUGAAGAACGCUGCGAACUGCGAUACGUAAUGCGAAUUGCAGGAUUCAGUGAGUCAUCGAAAUUUUGAACGCAUAUUGCACUUCCGGGUUAGUCCUGGAAGUAUGCCUGUAUCAGUGUCCGUACAUCAAACUUGACUUUCUUCCUUCCGUGUAGUCGGUGGAGGAGAUGCCAGAUGUGAAGUGUCUUGCGGUUGGUGUGCCUUCGGGCCGAGGCUGCGAGUCCUUUUAAAUGAACUGAACUGUACUUCUCUUUGCUCGAAAAGCGUGGUGAUGCUGGUUGUGGAGGCUGCCUGCGUGGCCAGUCGGCGACCGGUUUGUCUGCUGCGGCGUUUAAUGGAGGAGUGUUCGAUUCGCGGUAUGGUUGGCUUCGGCUGAACAGACGCUUAUUGUAUGCUUUUCCUGCUGUGGCGUGAUGGGCUGGUGAACCGUAGCUGUGUGUGGCUUGGCUUUUGAAUCGGCUUUGCUGUUGCGAAGUAGAGUGGCGGCUUCGGCUGUCGAGUGUCGAUCCAUUUUGGGAACUUUUGUGUGCGCUUUCGAGUGUGCAUCUCAAUUGGACCUGAUAUCAG